RNAcentral lists this ribosomal RNA (492 nucleotides) under uncultured bacterium. Its description in RNAcentral is "partial 16S ribosomal RNA". It matches the Rfam family "Bacterial small subunit ribosomal RNA", at positions 29 to 507 of the family's 1533-position model. The record is from RNAcentral.
AGUGAACGCUGGCGGUAGGCCUAACACAUGCAAGUCGAACGGCAGCACAGUAAGAGCUUGCUCUUACGGGAGGCGAGUGGCGGACGGGUGAGGAAUACAUCGGAAUCUACUUUUUCGUGGGGGAUAACGUAGGGAAACUUACGCUAAUACCGCAUACGACCUACGGGUGAAAGCAGGGGAUCUUCGGACCUUGCGCGAUCGAAUGAGCCGAUGUCGGAUUAGCUAGUUGGCGGGGUAAAGGCCCACCAACGCGACGAUCCGUAGCUGGUCUGAGAGGAUGAUCCGCCACACUGGCACUGAGACACGGUCCAGACUCCUACGGGAGGCAGCAGUGGGGACUAUUGGACAAUGGGCGCAAGCCUGAUCCAGCCAUACCGCGUGGGUGAAGAAGGCCUUCGGGUUGUAAAGCCCUUUUGUUGGGAAAGAAAAGCAGCAGGUUAAUACCCCGCUGUUCUGACGGUACCCAGAGAAUAAGCUCCGGCUAACUUCGUG